AACGCACAUUGCGCCCCUUGGUAUUCCAUGGGGCAUGCCUGUUCGAGCGUCAUUUGUACCCUCAAGCUUUGCUUGGUGUUGGGUGUUUGUCCUCUCCUCUGCGAUUGGACUCGCCUUAAAGAUAUUGGCAGCCAGUGAUUUGGUCGUAGAGCGCAGCACAAUAUGCGAUCUAUGCUAACAUGACUUGCAUCCAGUAAGCACAUAUACACGUUUGACCUCGGAUCAGGUAGGGAUACCCGCUGAACUUAA
Molecule: unclassified non-coding RNA, 249 nt
Filed under: uncultured Pleosporales
Lineage: Eukaryota; Fungi; Ascomycota; Dothideomycetes; Pleosporales
Description: sequence contains 5.8S rRNA gene, ITS2, 28S rRNA gene
Source: RNAcentral